Molecule: small nuclear RNA, 107 nt
Filed under: Lynx canadensis (Canada lynx)
Lineage: Eukaryota; Metazoa; Chordata; Mammalia; Carnivora; Felidae
Source: RNAcentral
GUGCUUGCUUCAGCAGCACAUAUACUAAAAUUGGAAUGAUACAGAGAAGAUUAGCAUGGCCCCUGUUCAAGGAUGACAUGCAAAUUCGUGAAGCAUUCCAUAUUUGU